UAUGAUUUCUUGUUUAUUAGAUUCAUUUGAGAUCAGUGAGGAUGGAGAUAAAAUAUGACAACCAACUAUGAGGAAACCACCAACAUUUAGGGUGUUGUUUGGCUGAGUGGCGAGUCAGUUUGGGGAGUUCCCCUUCACUGUGACCUAAUGACAGGAAUGACCCUGCUUCCACCACAAUCUGCCCUUGAGUGAAGAAUUUACCCUUGAGGUGGAGCUGGCCUGUGACCAGUGUGGACCAGGAUUCACUGGAGUGGAACACUUAUGCUGACUUGUGAUCUGGGUAAAUACAGGUCAGUACUGACUUUGCUCAAUAGUUCCUCAGCAGCGCUGGUUGAAGUUUAAUUUGGAGAAAUGUUAAUGUUUUAUGCUUUAAAUCUUUGGUUGUUACAUUAGUUC
Molecule: long non-coding RNA, 396 nt
Organism: Centropristis striata (black sea bass)
Lineage: Eukaryota; Metazoa; Chordata; Actinopteri; Perciformes; Serranidae
Exons: 3
Source: RefSeq, a predicted model, not a curated record